RNAcentral lists this ribosomal RNA (497 nucleotides) under uncultured bacterium. RNAcentral's name for it is "partial 16S ribosomal RNA". It matches the Rfam family "Bacterial small subunit ribosomal RNA", at positions 28 to 507 of the family's 1533-position model. The record is from RNAcentral.
GAUGAACGCUGGCGGCGUGCCUAAUACAUGCAAGUCGAGCGAACGGACGAGAAGCUUGCUUUUCUGAUGUUAGCGGCGGACGGGUGAGUAACACGUGGAUAACCUACCUAUAAGACUGGGAUAACUUCGGGAAACCGGAGCUAAUAUCGGAUAAUAUUUUGAACCGCAUGGUUCAAAAGUGAAAGACGGUCUUGCUGUCACUUAUAGAUGGAUCCGCGCUGCAUUAGCUAGUUGGUAAGGUAACGGCUUACCAAGGCAACGAUGCAUAGCCGACCUGAGAGGGUGAUCGGCCACACUGGAACUGAGACACGGUCCAGACUCCUACGGGAGGCAGCAGUAGGGAAUCUUGCGCAAUGGGCGAAAGCCUGACGGAGCAACGCCGCGUGAGUGAUGAAGGUCUUCGGAUCGUAAAACUCUGUUAUUAGGGAAGAACAUAUGUGUAAGUAACUGUGCACGUCUUGACGGUACCUAAUCAGAAAGCCACGGCUAACUACGUG